This 279-nucleotide ribosomal RNA is filed under the name uncultured bacterium. RNAcentral's name for it is "partial 16S ribosomal RNA". It matches the Rfam family "Bacterial small subunit ribosomal RNA", at positions 506 to 784 of the family's 1533-position model. The record is from RNAcentral.
UGCCAGCCGCCGCGGUAAUACGAACUGUGCGAACGUUAUUCGGAAUCACUGGGCUUAAAGGGUGCGUAGGCGGGUUUAAAGGUCUGAUGUGAAAGCCCACGGCUCAACCGUGGAAGUGCAUUUGAAACUGGAUGGCUUGAGUACUGGAGGGGGUGGUGGAAUUCCCGGUGUAGAGGUGAAAUCCGUAGAUAUUCGGAGGAACACCAGUGGCGAAGGCGGCUUUCUGGACCGAUACUGACGCUGAGACGCGAAAGCGUGGGGAGCAAACAGGAUUAGAUA